AGAGUUUGAUCAUGGCUCAGAUUGAACGCUGGCGGCAGGCCUAACACAUGCAAGUCGAACGGUAGCACAGAGAGCUUGCUCUCGGGUGACGAGUGGCGGACGGGUGAGUAAUGUCUGGGAAACUGCCUGAUGGAGGGGGAUAACUACUGGAAACGGUAGCUAAUACCGCAUAACGUCGCAAGACCAAAGAGGGGGACCUUCGGGCCUCUUGCCAUCAGAUGUGCCCAGAUGGGAUUAGCUAGUAGGUGGGGUAACGGCUCACCUAGGCGACGAUCCCUAGCUGGUCUGAGAGGAUGACCAGCCACACUGGAACUGAGACACGGUCCAGACUCCUACGGGAGGCAGCAGUGGGGAAUAUUGCACAAUGGGCGCAAGCCUGAUGCAGCCAUGCCGCGUGUAUGAAGAAGGCCUUCGGGUUGUAAAGUACUUUCAGCGGGGAGGAAGGUGUUGUGGUUAAUAACCACAGCAAUUGACGUUACCCGCAGAAGAAGCACCGGCUAACUCCGUGCCAGCAGCCGCGGUAAUACGGAGGGUGCAAGCGUUAAUCGGAAUUACUGGGCGUAAAGCGCACGCAGGCGGUCUGUCAAGUCGGAUGUGAAAUCCCCGGGCUCAACCUGGGAACUGCAUUCGAAACUGGCAGGCUAGAGUCUUGUAGAGGGGGGUAGAAUUCCAGGUGUAGCGGUGAAAUGCGUAGAGAUCUGGAGGAAUACCGGUGGCGAAGGCGGCCCCCUGGACAAAGACUGACGCUCAGGUGCGAAAGCGUGGGGAGCAAACAGGAUUAGAUACCCUGGUAGUCCACGCCGUAAACGAUGUCGACUUGGAGGUUGUUCCCUUGAGGAGUGGCUUCCGGAGCUAACGCGUUAAGUCGACCGCCUGGGGAGUACGGCCGCAAGGUUAAAACUCAAAUGAAUUGACGGGGGCCCGCACAAGCGGUGGAGCAUGUGGUUUAAUUCGAUGCAACGCGAAGAACCUUACCUACUCUUGACAUCCAGAGAACUUUCCAGAGAUGGAUUGGUGCCUUCGGGAACUCUGAGACAGGUGCUGCAUGGCUGUCGUCAGCUCGUGUUGUGAAAUGUUGGGUUAAGUCCCGCAACGAGCGCAACCCUUAUCCUUUGUUGCCAGCGGUUAGGCCGGGAACUCAAAGGAGACUGCCAGUGAUAAACUGGAGGAAGGUGGGGAUGACGUCAAGUCAUCAUGGCCCUUACGAGUAGGGCUACACACGUGCUACAAUGGCGCAUACAAAGAGAAGCGACCUCGCGAGAGCAAGCGGACCUCAUAAAGUGCGUCGUAGUCCGGAUUGGAGUCUGCAACUCGACUCCAUGAAGCCGGAAUCGCUAGUAAUCGUAGAUCAGAAUGCUACGGUGAAUACGUUCCCGGGCCUUGUACACACCGCCCGUCACACCAUGGGAGUGGGUUGCAAAAGAAGUAGGUAGCUUAACCUUCGGGAGGGCGCUUACCACUUUGUGAUUCAUGACUGGGGUGAAGUCGUAACAAGGUAACCGUAGGGGAACCUGCGGUUGGAUCACCU
This 1528-nucleotide ribosomal RNA is filed under the name Leclercia adecarboxylata. Its description in RNAcentral is "bacterial SSU rRNA". It matches the Rfam family "Bacterial small subunit ribosomal RNA". Lineage: Bacteria; Pseudomonadati; Pseudomonadota; Gammaproteobacteria; Enterobacterales; Enterobacteriaceae. The record is from RNAcentral.